UGGGGAAUAUUGCGCAAUGGAGGAAACUCUGACGCAGCAACGCCGCGUGAAGGAUGAAGGCUUUCGGGUUGUAAACUUCUUUGAUCGGGGACGAAGAUGACGGUACCCGAGGAACAAGCCACGGCUAACUACGUGCCAGCAGCCGCGGUAAUACGUAGGUGGCGAGCGUUGUCCGGAAUUACUGGGUGUAAAGGGCGUGUAGGCGGGAAAGCAAGUCAGAUGUGAAAUACCGGGGCUUAACUCCGGGGCUGCAUCUGAAACUGUUUUUCUUGAGUGUCGGAGAGGAAAGCGGAAUUCCUAGUGUAGCGGUGAAAUGCGUAGAUAUUAGGAGGAACACCAGUGGCGAAGGCGGCUUUCUGGACGACAACUGACGCUGAGGCGCGAAAGCGUGGGUAGCGAACAGG
RNAcentral lists this ribosomal RNA (404 nucleotides) under uncultured prokaryote. RNAcentral describes it as "bacterial SSU rRNA". It matches the Rfam family "Bacterial small subunit ribosomal RNA", at positions 355 to 776 of the family's 1533-position model. The record is from RNAcentral.